UUUCCGUAGGUGAACCUGCGGAAGGAUCAUUAAUGAGUUGUCAUGGGGUUCGAUACUGGCAGCCAGUUUUUGGAUGCAUGUGCUUGCCCUAACAAUCAUCUUCUUCCAAACACCUGUGCACAUUUUUGAGGGAGUCUUGAGUUGGUUGCCGCUCUUGGGUGAUUUUCUCACAUUCCCUUAAAUCAUUAUACGCUAUUAACAAUGUUGAACGUGCUCUGUGCCGCAAGGCCAUUAAUACAAUACAACUUUUAACAACGGAUCUCUUGGCUCUC
This 272-nucleotide unclassified non-coding RNA is filed under the name plant metagenome. RNAcentral's name for it is "partial contains small subunit ribosomal RNA, internal transcribed spacer 1, and 5.8S ribosomal RNA". The record is from RNAcentral.